ACUCAAAGGAAUAGACGGGGGCCCGCACAAGCAGCGGAGCGUGUGGUUUAAUUCGAUGCUACGCGAAGAACCUUACCAAGAUUUGACAUGUUUAUGACAGCUCUGGAAACAGAGUCUCCCUUCGGGGCAUUUUCACAGGUGCUGCAUGGCUGUCGUCAGCUCGUGCCGUGAGGUGUUUGGUUAAGUCCUGCAACGAGCGCAACCCCUAUUGCCAGUUGAAUUCUCUGGCGAGACUGCCUCGUAAAACGAGGAGGAAGGUGGGGAUGACGUCAAGUCAGCAUGGCCCUUAUAUCUUGGGCUACACACACGCUACAAUGGAUAGUACAAUAGGUUGCAAUGGAGCGAUCCGGAGCUAAUCCACAAAGCUAUCCUCAGUUCAGAUUACAGGCUGAAACUCGCCUGUAUGAAGUAGGAGUUGCUAGUAACCGUAGGUCAGCAUACUACGGUGAAUACGUUCUCGGGCCUUGUACACACCGCCCGU
Molecule: ribosomal RNA, 481 nt
Filed under: uncultured bacterium
Lineage: Bacteria
Description: bacterial SSU rRNA
Rfam family: Bacterial small subunit ribosomal RNA
Source: RNAcentral